Molecule: ribosomal RNA, 369 nt
Filed under: uncultured bacterium
Lineage: Bacteria
Description: bacterial SSU rRNA
Rfam family: Bacterial small subunit ribosomal RNA
Source: RNAcentral
GUAGGGUGCGAGCGUUAAUCGGAAUUACUGGGCGUAAAGCGUGCGCAGGCGGUUCGUUAAGUUCGAUGUGAAAGCCCCGGGCUCAACCUGGGAACUGCAUUGGAAACUGGCGAGCUUGAAUGCGGCAGAGGGGGGUGGAAUUCCGCGUGUAGCAGUGAAAUGCGUAGAGAUGCGGAGGAACACCGAUGGCGAAGGCAGCCCCCUGGGCCGACAUUGACGCUCAGGCACGAAAGCGUGGGGAGCAAACAGGAUUAGAUACCCUGGUAGUCCACGCCCUAAACGAUGCUCACUAGGUGUUGGGGAAGCGAUUCCUUGGUACCGUAGCUAACGCGUGAAGUGAGCCGCCUGGGGAGUACGGCCGCAAGGUUA